RNAcentral lists this transfer RNA (64 nucleotides) under Porhydrus obliquesignatus. Its description in RNAcentral is "tRNA-Arg". The record is from RNAcentral. Lineage: Eukaryota; Metazoa; Arthropoda; Insecta; Coleoptera; Dytiscidae.
AAAUAAGAAGUAAAAAAUUACAUUUAGUUUCGACCUAAAAAAUGACAACAAUUGUCCUUAUUUU